UCCAGCGGUAGUCAGCUGUCCAGAGCAAUACUGUGUCUGCGAUGGUGUUACGCUGCUGGGAGAGAAAGAUCAGUCGCUUCUUCUGGCCACUGUUGUCACCGUUCUGGAGACAACUAGUGCCAGCAAGAAGUGGCCCUGUGCUUCCCUGAGAGUGCGCUGAAGAUCUGCUCUCCCUCUUCGGGGCUAGUCUGGAAGCAUACACA
Molecule: small nucleolar RNA, 203 nt
Filed under: Buceros rhinoceros silvestris
Lineage: Eukaryota; Metazoa; Chordata; Aves; Bucerotiformes; Bucerotidae
Description: Small nucleolar RNA SNORA74
Rfam family: Small nucleolar RNA SNORA74
About the family: U19 belongs to the H/ACA class of snoRNAs. snoRNAs bind a number of proteins (including dyskerin, Gar1p and Nop10p in the case of the H/ACA class) to form snoRNP complexes. This class are thought to guide the sites of modification of uridines to pseudouridines by forming direct base pairing interactions with substrate RNAs.
Source: Rfam by way of RNAcentral